UAGUACGGCGAGUGAGAGGGAAGAGCCCAAGAUUGAAAGCUGGCGUCUUCGGCGUCCGCAUUGUAAUCUCAAGAAGUGUUUUCCGCUUCGGACCAUGCCUAAGUCCCUUGGAAAAGGGCAUCAUAGAGGGUGAUAAUCCCGUACAUGGCAUGGAGCGCCCGAAGCUUUGUGAUACGCUUUCUAAGAGUCGAGUUGUUUGGGAAUGCAGCUCAAAAUGGGUGGUAAAUGCCAUCUAAGGCUAAAUAUUGGGGAGAGACCGAUAGCGAACAAGUACAGUGAUGGAAAGAUGAAAAGAACUUUGAAAAGAGAGUUAAACAGUACGUGAAAUUGCCAAAAGGGAAGGGUAGGAGGUCAGAGAUGCGGCCUGGGAUUCAGCCUUGCUUUUGCUUGGUGUUUUUCCCAGAUUGCAGGCCAACGUCGGUUUUGGGCACUGGAGAAGGGUAGGAGGAACGUGGCACCCCUCGGGGUGUGUUAUAGCCUCCUACUGGAUACAGCGACCGAGACCGAGGACAGCAGCGUACUCGCAAGAGCGGGCCUUCGGGCACCUUUACGCUUAGGGCGUUGGCAUAAUGGCCCUCUACCACCCGUCUUGAA
This 594-nucleotide ribosomal RNA is filed under the name uncultured Pseudozyma. RNAcentral's name for it is "eukaryotic LSU rRNA". It matches the Rfam family "Eukaryotic large subunit ribosomal RNA", at positions 81 to 658 of the family's 3401-position model. The record is from RNAcentral. Lineage: Eukaryota; Fungi; Basidiomycota; Ustilaginomycetes; Ustilaginales; Ustilaginaceae.